This 740-nucleotide ribosomal RNA is filed under the name uncultured bacterium. Its description in RNAcentral is "bacterial SSU rRNA". It matches the Rfam family "Bacterial small subunit ribosomal RNA", at positions 1 to 742 of the family's 1533-position model. The record is from RNAcentral.
UAGAGUUUGAUCCUGGCUCAGAUUGAACGCUGGCGGCAGGCCUAACACAUGCAAGUCGAGCGGUAGAGAGAAGCUUGCUUCUCUUGAGAGCGGCGGACGGGUGAGUAAUGCCUAGGAAUCUGCCUGGUAGUGGGGGAUAACGUUCGGAAACGGACGCUAAUACCGCAUACGUCCUACGGGAGAAAGCAGGGGACCUUCGGGCCUUGCGCUAUCAGAUGAGCCUAGGUCGGAUUAGCUAGUUGGUGGGGUAAUGGCUCACCAAGGCGACGAUCCGUAACUGGUCUGAGAGGAUGAUCAGUCACACUGGAACUGAGACACGGUCCAGACUCCUACGGGAGGCAGCAGUGGGGAAUAUUGGACAAUGGGCGAAAGCCUGAUCCAGCCAUGCCGCGUGUGUGAAGAAGGUCUUCGGAUUGUAAAGCACUUUAAGUUGGGAGGAAGGGUUGUAGAUUAAUACUCUGCAAUUUUGACGUUACCGACAGAAUAAGCACCGGCUAACUCUGUGCCAGCAGCCGCGGUAAUACAGAGGGUGCAAGCGUUAAUCGGAAUUACUGGGCGUAAAGCGCGCGUAGGUGGUUUGUUAAGUUGGAUGUGAAAUCCCCGGGCUCAACCUGGGAACUGCAUUCAAAACUGACUGACUAGAGUAUGGUAGAGGGUGGUGGAAUUUCCUGUGUAGCGGUGAAAUGCGUAGAUAUAGGAAGGAGCACCAGUGGCGAAGGCGACCACCUGGACUAAUACUA